UAGGGAAUUUUCGUCAAUGGGGGCAACCCUGAACGAAGCAAUGCCGCGUGAGCGAAGAAGGUCUUCGGAUUGUAAAGCUCUGUUGCCGGGAAAAGGAAGGAAAGAGGAAAUGCUUUUCUUUGGAUGGUACCCGGCCAGAAAGUCACGGCUAACUACGUGCC
Molecule: ribosomal RNA, 161 nt
Filed under: uncultured bacterium
Lineage: Bacteria
Description: partial 16S ribosomal RNA
Rfam family: Bacterial small subunit ribosomal RNA
Source: RNAcentral